GGCGGGAUAGCUCAGACGGUAGAGCAAGCGGCUCAUAAUCGCUGUGUCACGGGUUCAAGUCCCGUUCCCGCUACCA
RNAcentral lists this transfer RNA (76 nucleotides) under Microlunatus sp. Its description in RNAcentral is "tRNA-Met". It matches the Rfam family "tRNA". Rfam says of the family: Transfer RNA (tRNA) molecules are approximately 80 nucleotides in length. Their secondary structure includes four short double-helical elements and three loops (D, anti-codon, and T loops). Further hydrogen bonds mediate the characteristic L-shaped molecular structure. tRNAs have two regions of fundamental functional importance: the anti-codon, which is responsible for specific mRNA codon recognition, and the 3' end, to which the tRNAs corresponding amino acid is attached (by aminoacyl-tRNA synthetases). tRNAs cope with the degeneracy of the genetic code in two manners: having more than one tRNA (with a specific anti-codon) for a particular amino acid; and 'wobble' base-pairing, i.e. permitting non-standard base-pairing at the 3rd anti-codon position. The record is from RNAcentral. Lineage: Bacteria; Bacillati; Actinomycetota; Actinomycetes; Propionibacteriales; Propionibacteriaceae. RNAcentral also lists the same sequence under 7 other names.